CGAACGCUGGCGGCAUGCCUAACACAUGCAAGUCGAACGAGACCUUCGGGUCUAGUGGCGCACGGGUGCGUAACGCGUGGGAACCUGCCCUUAGGUUCGGAAUAACUCCCCGAAAGGGGUGCUAAUACCGGAUAAUGUCUUCGGACCAAAGAUUUAUCGCCUUUGGGUGGGCCCGCGUUGGAUUAGCUAGUUGGUAGGGUAAAAGCCUACCAAGGCGACGAUCCAUAGCUGGUCUGAGAGGAUGAUCAGCCACACUGGGACUGAGACACGGCCCAGACUCCUACGGGAGGCAGCAGUGGGGAAUAUUGGACAAUGGGCGAAAGCCUGAUCCGGCAAUGCCGCGUGAGUGAUGAAGGCCUUAGGGUUGUAAAGCUCUUUUACCCGGGAUGAUAAUGACAGUACCGGGAGAAUAAGCUCCGGCUAACUCCGUG
Molecule: ribosomal RNA, 431 nt
Filed under: uncultured bacterium
Lineage: Bacteria
Description: partial 16S ribosomal RNA
Rfam family: Bacterial small subunit ribosomal RNA
Source: RNAcentral